Molecule: unclassified non-coding RNA, 231 nt
Filed under: Hevea brasiliensis (rubber tree)
Lineage: Eukaryota; Viridiplantae; Streptophyta; Magnoliopsida; Malpighiales; Euphorbiaceae
Source: RNAcentral
ACCCAAUUCCCCACUAGGCAACUCAAUCCUAAGCAACUUAAUUUCAUCAAAAUUCUUCAGAACCUGCGUAGGGGAAUGAUGGGUAACAGAAUAUUUCUCAAAAUCAUCAUCAACAAGAGAGGAUGAAGCAGUACAUCGCCUUGAAGAAAUGGAGAUCAACUGAGUAAGGGAUUGAAAGGGUUUAACAAGACCAAGGAAUACAAGUCGAAAAAGGGAAGAAAUGGGGUGACG